Molecule: long non-coding RNA, 260 nt
Filed under: Physcomitrium patens
Lineage: Eukaryota; Viridiplantae; Streptophyta; Bryopsida; Funariales; Funariaceae
Description: long non-coding RNA (PPAT_LNC009756)
Source: RNAcentral
UGCUUCCUCGUCUCAGUUGAUGUUGCAUGCUAAUUAUCUGAAAUCUUAUGCGUAGAUUGACGCGGAGUGUGCCCUUUGUUGUAGCGACCGGAUCUUUAUUGUAGCCCAUUGCACCUUGUCAAUCAUUGCUUUGUUGUUGUUGCAUAGAUAAUGUAUAAGCUUGAAACAUGCUCGCAAUGGUUGGAUCUAUAUAUACCUUGUCCUUUAGUAGAAACUCUACUAGUAGCUCUACUUGAAGCUCCUUCUAUAGAUCCUUCAAA